Molecule: ribosomal RNA, 423 nt
Filed under: uncultured bacterium
Lineage: Bacteria
Description: bacterial SSU rRNA
Rfam family: Bacterial small subunit ribosomal RNA
Source: RNAcentral
GGGGAAUUUUGCGCAAUGGGCGAAAGCCUGACGCAGCAACGCCGCGUGAGUGAUGAAGGCCUUCGGGUCGUAAAGCUCUGUCAGAGGGGAAGAACCUCCUGUCGGUUAAUACCCGGCAGGCCUGACGGUACCCCCAAAGGAAGCACCGGCUAACUCCGUGCCAGCAGCCGCGGUAAUACGGAAGGGGCAAGCGUUGUUCGGAAUUAUUGGGCGUAAAGGGCGCGCAGGCGGUCUCAUAUGUCUGCUGUGAAAUCACACGGCUCAACCGUGUUCAGCCGCAGAAACUGUGGGACUUGAGGCUGGGAGGGGCUGGUGGAAUUCCCCGUGUAGCGGUGAAAUGCGUAGAGAUGGGGGAGAACACUCGUGGCGAAGGCGGCCAGCUGGACCAGUUCUGACGCUGAGGCGCGAAAGCGUGGGGAGCAA